Molecule: ribosomal RNA, 647 nt
Filed under: Pseudomonas sp. LS61
Lineage: Bacteria; Pseudomonadati; Pseudomonadota; Gammaproteobacteria; Pseudomonadales; Pseudomonadaceae
Description: bacterial SSU rRNA
Rfam family: Bacterial small subunit ribosomal RNA
Source: RNAcentral
GUGGCGGGGCGGCAGCUACACAUGCAGUCGAGCGGUAGAGAGAAGCUUGCUUCUCUUGAGAGCGGCGGACGGGUGAGUAAUGCCUAGGAAUCUGCCUGGUAGUGGGGGAUAACGUUCGGAAACGGACGCUAAUACCGCAUACGUCCUACGGGAGAAAGCAGGGGACCUUCGGGCCUUGCGCUAUCAGAUGAGCCUAGGUCGGAUUAGCUAGUUGGUGGGGUAAUGGCUCACCAAGGCGACGAUCCGUAACUGGUCUGAGAGGAUGAUCAGUCACACUGGAACUGAGACACGGUCCAGACUCCUACGGGAGGCAGCAGUGGGGAAUAUUGGACAAUGGGCGAAAGCCUGAUCCAGCCAUGCCGCGUGUGUGAAGAAGGUCUUCGGAUUGUAAAGCACUUUAAGUUGGGAGGAAGGGUUGUAGAUUAAUACUCUGCAAUUUUGACGUUACCGACAGAAUAAGCACCGGCUAACUCUGUGCCAGCAGCCGCGGUAAUACAGAGGGUGCAAGCGUUAAUCGGAAUUACUGGGCGUAAAGCGCGCGUAGGUGGUUUGUUAAGUUGGAUGUGAAAUCCCCGGGCUCAACCUGGGAACUGCAUUCAAAACUGACUGACUAGAGUAUGGUAGAGGGUGGUGGAAUUUCCUGUGUA